GCUCUUCCUAUCUCCCCAAGAUGCGGCGUAGAACGUACAGGGCUCAUGGUCGAAUUAACCCAUACAUGAGCUCUCCCUGCCACACUGAGAUGAUCCUUACUGAAAAAGAGCAGAUUGUUCCUAAACCAGAAGAGGAGGUUGCACAGAAGGAAAAGAUAUCCCAGAGGAAACUGAAGAAACAAAAACCUAUGGCCCAGGAGUAAAUUCUGCAGAAUAAAUGCAAAAAAAAA
Molecule: non-coding RNA, 230 nt
Organism: Callorhinus ursinus (northern fur seal)
Lineage: Eukaryota; Metazoa; Chordata; Mammalia; Carnivora; Otariidae
Source: RefSeq, a predicted model, not a curated record